UGUGUGUGUGUAUGUAUAUGUGUGUGUGUAUGUGUGUGUGUGUAUGUGUGUGUGUGGGUGUGUGUAUAUGUGUGUGGGUGUGUGUAUGUGUGGGGGUGUGUGUGUAUGUAUGUGUGUGUGUGUGGGUGUGUGUGUAUAUGUGUGUGGGUGUGUGUACACUUCCUCUGGCAGUGCCAGUUUUAUCAGCACAUUCCUUGACCUCGGGUUCUAAGUGACAUUCCAUUCUGUUUUUUUGUUCAAAUAACCGGUUUGUUCAUUCCGUUGUUUUGAAUGUUUAUAUUGCAACCUUCAAGAAGAAAUGCAGAAAGGUUAUCUAAACAAAUCUGUCGGCACCUGAAUGCCUUUGUUUGAUCCCUGACACAGCAGUUUAGCUUUAGUGAUUAAUUUAUUGUGUUUCUGUUUUUUUUAUUAAAGAUAUCCACUGGUUGUGUUUUGAUGAAGUUUUUUUGCACAUAAAUGUUUCUGAAUGUAGACCGUUCUGAAUGCAGCGGGGGAGAGUUAUUCACGACACAAACCAUCCUCAUAACACUUCAUGUUGAUCUGAAAGACUCAGGCUGCUGAUUAGCAUCAGAAUAUCUACAGCUUUACCUCUGACAGGUGCAGUUUCUGACACAUUGUUUACAACCUCCUUAUGUGUGUUCAACUCCACUUCAGGAGAUAAAUUCAAAUUAUUUUCUAUGUGGACUUUUCCAUUCAUGACUGGUUGAUAACGGAACUGAACCCAACACGGACCUUGGAGUAGAAGCGUUGUGUGUGUAAACGCCCCUGGGAUUCUUUCACUUCUACACCUUUAUUUCCUCUCACAAUACCACACACAAACAUUGUGCUAUACAGUCUGUUGCCAUGGAAACCAAAUCCCCAUGUGUAGACCUCAGAUGAUGGACAGUUGAGGUUGAUUGUGAUGAAAAAAGUAAUGGAAUGUUUUGUCAUUAAAUUAUAGUGAAGGCAGUUUAUUUAAAAAUCACCUUGGAUAAAUCAUACAGACCUUCUCUCUCUCAAGCUGUUUUAUUGGCAUGAAAAACAAAGUGCCAAAGUAACAAUGUAUACAAUAUACAUUGUAAAAAAAAAAAAAAUGAAUUAAUCUGUCUCUCUCAUCAGCCCCUCAUUGGCAGGCAUAGUCAUUUUCAGAGAUUAAUGAAACAACUCACAGAUACUUUCCGAAUGCACUAUAUGUGUAUUUUUCCACAUUUUUCUAGGUUACAGCCUUACUCUAAAAUAGAUUAAAUUGUUUUUCUUCCCUCAUCAAUCUACACUCUAUACCCCAUCUUCCCUCAUCAAUCUACACUCUAUACCCCAUAAUGACAUCACAGUACCCCAUAAUACUGGCCUGUCUCCUGGUAGCGCCUACAUGCUCUGGACACUACGCUGACAGACACAG
This is a long non-coding RNA of Oncorhynchus tshawytscha (Chinook salmon), 1378 nucleotides long. Lineage: Eukaryota; Metazoa; Chordata; Actinopteri; Salmoniformes; Salmonidae. The record is from Ensembl.